UGGGGAAUAUUGCACAAUGGGCGCAAGCCUGAUCCAGCCAUGCCGCGUGCGGGAAGAAGGCCUUCGGGUUGUAAACCGCUUUUGUCAGGGAAGAAAUCCUUUGAGCUAAUACCUCGGGGGGAUGACGGUACCUGAAGAAUAAGCACCGGCUAACUACGUGCCAGCAGCCGCGGUAAUACGUAGGGUGCGAGCGUUAAUCGGAAUUACUGGGCGUAAAGCGUGCGCAGGCGGUUUUGUAAGACAGAGGUGAAAUCCCCGGGCUCAACCUGGGAACUGCCUUUGUGACUGCAAGGCUGGAGUGCGGCAGAGGGGGAUGGAAUGCCGCGUGUAGCAGUGAAAUGCGUAGAUAUGCGGAGGAACACCGAUGGCGAAGGCAAUCCCGUGGGUCUGCACUGACGCUCAUGCACGUAAGCGUGGGGAGAAAAAA
Molecule: ribosomal RNA, 427 nt
Filed under: uncultured bacterium
Lineage: Bacteria
Description: bacterial SSU rRNA
Rfam family: Bacterial small subunit ribosomal RNA
Source: RNAcentral